This is a small nuclear RNA of Pteronotus mesoamericanus, 125 nucleotides long. RefSeq annotates it as U4atac minor spliceosomal RNA. NCBI's taxonomy places the organism in Eukaryota, Metazoa, Chordata, Mammalia, Chiroptera, Mormoopidae. The record is from RefSeq and is a predicted model, not a curated record. The transcript has a single exon.
ACCAUUCUUUUCUUUGGGUGCACUACUGUCCAAUGGGUGUGUAGUGAGGGCAGAGCUGUUAACGUGUAAACAAUACACUCGCAUCAACUAGAGCUCUGCUUUACCUUGGUGCAAUUUUUGGAAAA